This 253-nucleotide ribosomal RNA is filed under the name uncultured bacterium. RNAcentral's name for it is "partial 16S ribosomal RNA". It matches the Rfam family "Bacterial small subunit ribosomal RNA", at positions 524 to 776 of the family's 1533-position model. The record is from RNAcentral.
UACGUAGGGUGCGAGCGUUAAUCGGAAUUACUGGGCGUAAAGUGUGCGCAGGUGGCCGCGCAAGUCGAGUGUGAAAUCCCCGAGCUUAACUUGGGAAUUGCGCUCGAAACUGCGUGGCUCGAGUGUGGCAGAGGAAGGUGGAAUUCCACGUGUAGCGGUGAAAUGCGUAGAGAUGUGGAGGAACACCGAUGGCGAAGGCAGCCUUCUGGGCCAACACUGACGCUCAUGCACGAAAGCGUGGGGAGCAAACAGU